AACAAAUAGAAAGUUUCUUUCUUUAAUUUAAUUUAAAAGUAAAUAAAAUAUGUUUGUUAAAAAUAAAGGUGAAAUUUUUUUUUAAAUUAAAACUUUAAUAUAAAAUUAAAAUUCUUUUAAUAAACUAGGAUUAGAUACCCUAUUAUUAAAGAGCUAUAAAUUGUAAGUAAAUAACAAUUAUGAAAGCAAAAAAUUAUGGCGGUAUUUUAAGCUUUUCAGAGGAAUUUGCUCUAUAAUGGAUAAAACACCCUAAUCUUACUUAAAUUUGUUAAAACAGUUUGUAUACCACUAUAAAAUUAAUUAUUAAUUUUAAUUAAUAAAAUUUAAUUUUUUUUAAAAAAAAUUAAGUCAAGGUGCAGCAAAAAUUUAAGAAUGAAGUGAAUUACAAUUCUUAUUAGAGAUAAUUAUAAUUAAAAUUAUUUUAGGAUUUGAAAGUAAAAUUAAAAUAGAAUGUUAAUUUGAAUCAAGCUCUAAAAUAU
Molecule: ribosomal RNA, 479 nt
Filed under: Rhipicephalus decoloratus
Lineage: Eukaryota; Metazoa; Arthropoda; Arachnida; Ixodida; Ixodidae
Description: partial small subunit ribosomal RNA
Source: RNAcentral